AGCAGCCGCGGUAAUUCCAGCUCCAAUAGCGUAUAUUAAAGUUGUUGCAGUUAAAAAGCUCGUAGUUGAAUUUCGGGAUCAGUACGCCGGUCGUGCCUUCGGUAUGCACUGGUGUCACUGGUUUCUCCCUUCUGAAGAACCAUCAUGCCAUUCAGUUGGUGUGGCGGGGAAUCAGGACUGUUACUUUGAAAAAAUUAGAGUGUUUAAAGCAGGCUCGCGCUUGAAUACAUUAGCAUGGAAUAAUGAAAUAGGACGUUUGACCCUAUUUUGUUGGUUUCUAGGAUCGACGUAAUGAUUAAUAGGGAUAGUUGGGGGCAUUAGUAUUCAAUUGUCAGAGGUGAAAUUCUUGGAUUUUAUUGAAGACUAACUACUGCGAAAGCAUUUGCCAAGGAUGUUUUCAUUAAUCAAGAACGAAAGUUAGGGGAUCGAAGACGAUCAGAUACCGUCGUAGUCUUAACCAUAAACUAUGCCGACUAGGGAUCGGAUGAUGUUAAUUUUUUAAUGACUCAUUCGGCGCCUU
Molecule: unclassified non-coding RNA, 520 nt
Filed under: uncultured Glomus
Lineage: Eukaryota; Fungi; Glomeromycota; Glomeromycetes; Glomerales; Glomeraceae
Description: SSU rRNA
Rfam family: Eukaryotic small subunit ribosomal RNA
Source: RNAcentral